GGAAGAAGAUAAAAGCGGGAAAAUUUCCUGCCAACCGUCAGAUUUUUUUCUUUUUUUUUCUCUUGCAAUGGCUUGCAGUGCCACCAUCCAGCCUCUGUUGAACUUUGAACUCUCACACUCACACCAACCAAAGAGACCUUACUCUCUCCCUUUAUGUUCCUUCAUUAAAAAGCCAAGACUUUCUCCGAAGCACUUUUUCUCUCAAUCCAAAGAUUACACCAAGAUCAACAUUUUUUCAAGCCCAUCGCUGUUUUCUAGGCAGAAACCCGGAUCCCAUGUUGCUGCCCAGAGUGAUUAUUCUUCAGGGGAAGAAGCAGAGUCACUUUUACCUGACUCAGCUUACCAAGAGCCUUUUUCUUGGUCUUCAGUGAUUUUGCCAUUUUUGUUUCCAGCUCUGGGAGGGUUAUUAUUUGGCUAUGAUAUUGGUGCCACCUCUGGUGCUACAAUCUCUUUGCAGUCACCAGAGCUUAGUGGAACUACUUGGUUCAAUCUCUCAGCUAUUCAGCUGGGUCUAGUGGUCAGUGGCUCUCUUUAUGGGGCCCUUCUCGGUUCCCUCCUUGUCUAUCCAGUUGCAGAUUCCCUAGGAAGGAGGAGGGAACUCCUCAUUGCUGCUUUACUAUAUGUGCUUGGUGGUGUGCUGACUGCUUUUGCUCCAGGCCUUAGUGUUCUCUUAGUAGGACGGCUACUCUAUGGCCUGGGUAUUGGAUUAGCCAUGCAUGGGGCUCCGCUCUACAUAGCAGAAACUUGCCCGUCUCAGAUACGUGGUACACUAAUAUCUCUAAAGGAACUAUUUAUAGUUCUGGGAAUUUUGUUGGGGUAUUUUGUGGGAAGCUUCCAAAUUAAUGCUGUUGGGGGAUGGCGAUACAUGUAUGGGUGUAGUGCCCCAGUCGCAUUAUUGAUGGGACUAGGAAUGUGGAGUCUCCCGCCAUCACCACGUUGGUUAAUUCUCAGAGCGGUUCAAGGUAAAGGGUCUUUACAAGAACUCAAAGAGAAGGCCAUCCUUGCCCUAAGCAAACUUCGGGGUCGGGCUCCGGGUGAUGAAGCAUCUGAGAAACAAAUAGAAGAUACCUUAAUCUCAGUGAAGUCUGCCUAUAUGGAACAGGAAUCUGAAGGAAAUAUCUUGGAGGUAUUUCAGGGGCCAAGUUUGAAAGCCUUCAUAAUUGGUGGAGGUUUAGUCCUUUUUCAACAGAUAACUGGCCAACCAAGUGUUCUGUAUUAUGCUGGUCCAAUUCUACAGAGUGCUGGAUUCUCUGCAGCUGCUGAUGCUACCCGCCUUUCUGUUGUUGUAGGUUUGUUCAAGUUACUGAUGACUUGGAUAGCUGUUGCAAAAGUUGAUGAUCUUGGUAGAAGGCCUUUGCUGAUUGGAGGUGUUGGUGGGAUUGCUCUUUCCUUGUUUCUGCUCUGUGCUUAUUACAAAUUUCUUGGAGAAUUCCCUUAUGUUGCUGUAGCUGCUCUACUUCUCUAUGUCGGUUGCUAUCAGAUAUCUUUUGGGCCCAUCAGUUGGCUGAUGGUGUCUGAAAUUUUCCCUCUGCGAACAAGAGGGAAAGGGAUUAGUCUUGCAGUUCUCACUAACUUUGGUUCAAAUGCUAUAGUCACCUUCGCAUUCUCACCAUUGAAGGAGCUGCUAGGGGCAGAAAAUCUUUUCCUUCUUUUUGGUGUUAUUGCUCUGAUAUCACUUUUGUUUGUGGCCCUCUAUGUCCCGGAGACUAAAGGUUUGAGUUUGGAAGAGAUUGAAUCCAAGCUCUUGAAGUGAAAAGCUCCAUGAUCCCUACUGUUCGUCAACAUAUCAGUGAAGACCGUAUGCUCUACUGUGGGAUUUGAAACAUGGUUGAAAAUAGUGAAGUGGUUUAUGAGUUGGAACCAUUUUGAGGAGUUGACAAAAGGUGGUUGGUUUUCAGUUUUCACUUCGGGCAUCUUGUAAAGUUUGGGGUGUACCCUAGACUUCAUAUAUUUGCUAUAUCGAUUAGACCUCAACCGAUAAGAAAAAACCCCUCAUUUGAACUAGAAGGCAUUUUGUUUGUCUCAUUGAUUGGGGUAGCAAAGCAUUUUAUUUUGGGCUGGAGUUCAUUUGCCUUGUAGAUUAAAGGGUCGAAGGAGCAUUUUAAUUUUCAAAUGUUUUCGACUAUCUUAUGACAAGUUUCGUAACCUCUCACUAAGAUAUUUUGAAACCUCUUUCAAUGUC
This is an RNA transcript of Gossypium raimondii (Peruvian cotton), 2182 nucleotides long. It is a transcript of the gene named D-xylose-proton symporter-like 3, chloroplastic, with no coding region annotated. NCBI's taxonomy places the organism in Eukaryota, Viridiplantae, Streptophyta, Magnoliopsida, Malvales, Malvaceae. The record is from RefSeq and is a predicted model, not a curated record. The transcript is spliced from 15 exons.